Molecule: long non-coding RNA, 838 nt
Filed under: Drosophila guanche
Lineage: Eukaryota; Metazoa; Arthropoda; Insecta; Diptera; Drosophilidae
Source: RNAcentral
UGGAUCUUUAUGCAAUGCAAUUUAGUGCAAAACCAACGGAGACGUGAACGUGGAUGGAGGGAGAGAGACGGAGAAAGGGAGUGUGCUUAUCGUUUUAGUCGGUUGAACCACCUCGUACCACCGCCGACGCCGACGCCGACGCUCUUCUAUUGUGCAUCUCUCUCUCGUUCCAUGCCGAUCCAGUCAAAUGCUGUUUCAAUUUUAGCUUCAGUAAGUAUUUGUUGUUGCUGUUAUAAUUAUCUGCAUAAAUUGGUGCACACAACACACAAACUUUUUGUUUGAUUUAACCAGUUACAGAUGCGGUUCAAUGCAGUCGAGUUAUGGUAUAUAAAGCAAAUACACAUCCAAAUAUCUGUAUAACUGUGGGGGGUAUACAUAUAUAUUUUAAGAGAUCUCUGUUUUAAUGAGUGAUCUUAAUGACUGCGCAUUGGAAAUCACAGCUCGAUGGAACUGUACAAAGUUCCCCUCCACAAGUGUUAGCACUCUCUGAUUCUAUUGUGAGAGAGAGUGAGAGAGAGAGAGACUCGUGUUAAUCAGCUGAUGUAUCGAGCAUUCCAUUCCUAGUUUAUCUUGCUACCUUAUCGAUGGCACACUUUGUCCAGACUUGAAAGAUCAGCUUGAUCACAAGAUAAUUGCUCUGCUACCAGCGCAGUUCUACCUCAAUAAAGUUACUCAUCAAUUUGCACUUUCUGGUCAUUUUUGCACUGGGAAUUUUACAUCUUUUGCUUAAUGAAAAGUGACAAACUUCAAUAAGUGCUCUCCCCCCACAAAUAAUUAAUGAUCUAACGAUUCUGAGAUGAUCUUCCAAAUUGUUUAUUGUUUUUUAGCUGUGUCAUUG